AAGACAGCAAAAUUGAAGAUGAGAGUCCUUUAUCCACAACAGUAGAAGUUUCCCCAAAUCACAAUGUCAAUGUUCCUCAAUUCUGACCUAGAGGAACCACCUCUAGGGAUGAGAGGGCAGCUCAGCUUCCAGGCCUACUGUCUUUUCUUGGAAAAA
Molecule: unclassified non-coding RNA, 156 nt
Organism: Chelonoidis abingdonii (Abingdon island giant tortoise)
Lineage: Eukaryota; Metazoa; Chordata; Testudines; Testudinidae
Source: Ensembl